Long non-coding RNA from Melanotaenia boesemani (Boeseman's rainbowfish), 306 nucleotides. RefSeq lists it as uncharacterized. The transcript has 3 exons. Lineage: Eukaryota; Metazoa; Chordata; Actinopteri; Atheriniformes; Melanotaeniidae. The record is from RefSeq and is a predicted model, not a curated record.
UCCAUAAUGUAUGCCAUCAGUCAGAGUGAAACACUGAAGGAAGAUGCAUAUUUACAGGGGUUAUGAUACUCAUGAUGGCACAGAUGCUGAAGCCUGAAUGAGAGAGUUUCCUGUCCGUCACUCAGAGAAAACCUCGUUCUGCUGGAAAAUGUCUGUUCGAAGCAGUCUGGUCCUAAAAUCUGCCUAACUUAAAGCAGGUUUAUCAGCCAGAGGAAAUGGGAGAAGGAUGCUGAUGUUUCCACGGAAACAGGUGGACUCGGAUGAACUGACUAUCAGCAGCAAUCAUUUAGGACUCUAAGAAAGGAG